GAUGAACGCUGGCGGCGUGCCUAAUACAUGCAAGUCGAGCGAACAGACGAGGAGCUUGCUCCUCUGACGUUAGCGGCGGACGGGUGAGUAACACGUGGAUAACCUACCUAUAAGACUGGGAUAACUUCGGGAAACCGGAGCUAAUACCGGAUAAUAUAUUGAACCGCAUGGUUCAAUAGUGAAAGACGGUUUUGCUGUCACUUAUAGAUGGAUCCGCGCCGCAUUAGCUAGUUGGUAAGGUAACGGCUUACCAAGGCAACGAUGCGUAGCCGACGUGAGAGGGUGAUCGGCCACACUGGAGCUGGGACACGGUCCAGACUCCUACGGGAGGCAGCAGUAGGGAAUCUUCCGCAAUGGGCGAAAGCCUGACGGAGCAACGCCGCGUGAGUGAUGAAGGUCUUCGGAUCGUAAAACUCUGUUAUUAGGGAAGAACAAAUGUGUAAGUAACUAUGCACGUCUUGACGGUACCGGAUCAGAAAGCCACGGCUAACUACGUG
This 497-nucleotide ribosomal RNA is filed under the name uncultured bacterium. RNAcentral's name for it is "partial 16S ribosomal RNA". It matches the Rfam family "Bacterial small subunit ribosomal RNA", at positions 28 to 507 of the family's 1533-position model. The record is from RNAcentral.